CCUACGGGUGACAGCAGUGAGGAAUAUUGGUCAAUGGACGCAAGUCUGAACCAGCCAUGCCGCGUGCAGGAAGACGGCUCUAUGAGUUGUAAACUGCUUUUGUACGAGGGUAAACGCAGAUACGCGUAUCUGUCUGAAAGUAUCGUACGAAUAAGGAUCGGCUAACUCCGUGCCAGCAGCCGCGGUAAUACGGAGGAUUCAAGCGUUAUCCGGAUUUAUUGGGUUUAAAGGGUGCGUAGGCGGUCGGAUAAGUUAGAGGUGAAAUCCCGAGGCUCAACGUCGGAAUUGCCUCUGAUACUGUGAGACGAGAGAGUAGUAGAGGUUAGCGGAAUGUAUGGUGUAGCGGUGAAAUGCGUAGAGAUCAGAAAGAACACCGGUGGCGAAGGAGGAUAACAAAGAUACUUCUGACGUUGAGGCACGAAAGCGUGGGGAGCGAACAGGAUUAGAUACCCGAGUAGUC
RNAcentral lists this ribosomal RNA (460 nucleotides) under uncultured bacterium. Its description in RNAcentral is "partial 16S ribosomal RNA". It matches the Rfam family "Bacterial small subunit ribosomal RNA", at positions 338 to 795 of the family's 1533-position model. The record is from RNAcentral.